Molecule: ribosomal RNA, 329 nt
Filed under: uncultured Variovorax sp.
Lineage: Bacteria; Pseudomonadati; Pseudomonadota; Betaproteobacteria; Burkholderiales; Comamonadaceae
Description: bacterial SSU rRNA
Rfam family: Bacterial small subunit ribosomal RNA
Source: RNAcentral
UACCGCAUAUGCUCUACGGAGGAAAGUGGGGGACCUGCAAGGGCCUCAUGUAUGGGAGCGGCCGAUGUCCGAUUAGCUAGUUGGUGGGGUAAAGGCUUACCAAGGCGACGAUCGGUAGCUGGUCUGAGAGGAUGAUCAGCCACACUGGGACUGAGACACGGCCCAGACUCCUACGGGAGGCAGCAGUGGGGAAUUUUGGACAAUGGGGGSCAACCCUGAUCCAGCCAUGCCGCGUGCGGGAAGAAGGCCUUCGGGUUGUAAACCGCUUUUGUCUGGGAAGAAAAGGCGCUCUUGAAUACGGGGCGUUCUUGACGGUACUGGAAGAAUAA